AACGUAGUGUCCUCGGUGCUUGUCAAAAAUGCAAAUCCCCAAUCUCCAGGCCAGUUUCACUAAAUUAGAAACCCUGGGGGUGGGCUCAGCCUGGGCAUGCUCCCUAAGUGCCCAGGUGAGUGAGCCGAUCAGGUUCCACACAGCUAGAAAUGGUUAAAGGCUCUCCAAUGGCCUCUCAAUUGAUUAGUUUCCUUCAGCCUAAUUUGCAGCCAUCUUAGCCAAGCCUUCAUAUUUCUUCCCUUUUCAACCUGGUCCCUCAUUUUCCAACUGGAGAAGUCUCUUCUCAAUCGCCUAGGCAACGGAGACAAGAGCUAGGACGCUGUCGCACGGCCUAGCUUCUGUCAGAGAAGUGGAAGAGCUUUCUUGUAUGCCUUACUAUGAAGAAAUGGCGAAUGGGAGAAAGUAGGUGAUAACUGCACAACUACGUAGUGACAGAUUUGGGACUGAAGCCAAGUUUCCUGCUUCAUUAUUCCAGUGUGCUUUCUUCUGCAUUGAGGUGAUGAAUUUUAAAGACCAACCACAGAACCUAGAAGAGUAGAACGGAAAUUUCUCCUCCCCUGCAGUAUUGUUGGGCCUGUUGACCUCACUGUCACAACCUCAUCGAGUAUGACAUUCAAAAGAGCGAAGUGUACCAGAAGCACAAGAAAGAUGAUCAGAGAAUUAAGAAAAAGAAGAAAAUACCGAAUGAGAUUAAGAAGGAAAAUUUGGGACAAAACCUGGAGGUGUCCUUCACACCAACACCCCCCUCAUCCAAUGUAUCACAGUGGACUAUAUAUCUAUUUAACCCCAAAAGGUGUCUUGAACUGAUCGAUUUUCUCCCACGCUUUUACUGCCUUCUUGCUUUAGUCUAAUCCGUCAUCAUCUCUCCAUGUAUAUCUGGAAGAACUUCCUAAUUGCUCUCCCUCCUUUUACUUUUAUCCCCCUGCAAUCCAUUCCGCACACCAGUAAUUGCAGUGAUUUAUUUAAAAUGCAAAUAGGAUCAUGUAGUUUCCUUACUUAUCAUCUUUCAAGGGCUCCUUACUGCACUUAGGAUAAAAUAUAGACCCAUAACCUUGCCUUUGGGGCUCUGCAGAUUGCUGCCCCUGCCUCUACCGCCAGCCUCAUCUUGCACCAUCUCUUGUUCCUCACAGCCAGCAGGCACUACUGCCCUCCUUUCAACCGCAAGCACAGUAGCACUGAGCUCUUCACUGAAUCAGGACUGCUACUCACGCUGUUAUUCUGCCUGGAAUGCUUUUUACUCAACUUGUCCUUCAGGUUUAUUAUGCUGAUGUACAUACCUUGGCGGCUGAAUGUCUGGGGGCCAGAUGAUUGAAAGAGCACAAUAUGAGAACUAAGAUUCUAGAGGCUGGAAUGUGCAUGUCAUUUUGAUUGUAUGUGAUGUAUACCUGUACAUAUGGGAUGGCAUCCCCUUGAGUUUUAGAACAGUACUGAUUUCAUGUCACUUCAUUUUUUUAAAGAAAGUUAGUUCUCUAAAUGCAAAAUCACCUGUGAUUUAAAUUUCCUGCUUUCUGAACUCAUUCAGUAUAUAACAAUUCACAUAUCAGUUUUUUAAAAAGGUAAAAAAGCUCUUAUCCUACCCUGGGCUUCCAUUUUUGUUUCAGAACGUGGACAUGUUGUUUGUGCCAACAAAAGGGAAUUCAAGGAGCCAGAUUAGAAAGGUCAUUAAGAACAGACUAGAGCAAGAAGCUCAGUUUCCAGCCCUCCACUGGAGUGAGGUCUAGUCUCCAGACAGAGAGAGAGAGAAGAAAGAAGGAGGACGAGGGAGAAGGAGUGGGCAUAACAGGCAAGUUCACUAGCAGAAAUAAUGUGCCUUGGAGGAGAGCAGCCUUCGAAUGUCUGAUAAGAGGUGACCGCUUAUUAGCUGUUUGAUCCUAGACAUGUCAGUUAAUCUUUCUGGAUCUCAGUUCCUUUUCCUUGUAGAUGAAAGGACGAAACCCCAUUAGAAAUACUUGCCUGCUCUAUGAUCCUUUGAUUCUUGUUUUCUCUAUAAUGGUGGAAGCACGAGAAAGAGUAUAUCUGAGCAAAAGGGAUAGGAAAAAGAUGAUUAAUUGUGACAGAAUAGAAAGACGAAGAAGAAAGGCAUGGAUGGUAGCUAUGAAGGGAAAGUAUAUGAGAAAAUAAAGAUUCAGAUCUUUUUCCUUGCCCAGCUUAUUUAUUUAACAGAUAUUUAUUAGUACUUAACGUAGCAUUGACGAUGUGCCAGCUAUUGUUCUAAGGGCUUUACAAAAGUGAACUCAUUUGAUACUUGGGAGGUAAGUACUGCUGUUAGAUCUUAUAGCUGAGGAAACUGAGGCACUGAGAGGUCAAGAAACCUAACCCAAGUCAUAUAACUAGUAAGGGCCACGUCACACCCAGGCAGUCUGGCUCCAGGGUCCAGGCUGUUAUAAUGCUUAUUUUCCUGUUAGAAUUUACCAUGCAUUUUCCUCAAUGAAAAUCUCUACAUCAAAGACGAAAACUUAUUGAACUGUAACAAAAAUAAUAAAUCACUCCAGACGUAUUUAGGCUAACACAUACCCUAUUUGUUUCUGUGUAAUUACACUUUCUCAAGAGCCUGCCACAUUUGGCAUCACUGUUUUCUUACGAACUCUUCAAGCAAGACUAAUGCAAAAUGGAGAGGAUUGUUCUUUGUUCAGCUGCAAACCAGGUGGCACAAAGCACAGAGAAGAAAGCCAGGCUCCGGAGAACGUGUGAAGGGAACCAACCGACAAAUGAAAACUCACGCAGAGCUUGCCUUUAAUCAGGAAACAUUUUCAUUCAAACGCUUGCAAACUUUAAAAAUUUUUAAGUUUAUAUUCUAUAAUCUUUCUACCACUCUAUUGGAAAAAAAAGCUCCAAAAAGGAAGAUUAUUAAAAUAAAACAAAAUAGUUUGGUUUUGUCAUUUGGAAACAUUUCAAGCUCAAGAUCUAU
Long non-coding RNA from Equus asinus (donkey), 2908 nucleotides. The record is from Ensembl. NCBI's taxonomy places the organism in Eukaryota, Metazoa, Chordata, Mammalia, Perissodactyla, Equidae.